Molecule: non-coding RNA, 30 nt
Filed under: Mus musculus (house mouse)
Lineage: Eukaryota; Metazoa; Chordata; Mammalia; Rodentia; Muridae
Also listed under: 1 other name
Source: RNAcentral
UCCUUAGGUGAACCUGCGGAAGGAUCAUUA